GACGAACGCUGGCGGCGUGCUUAACACAUGCAAGUCGAACGGGAAGGCCCUGCUUUGGUGGGGUGCUCGAGUGGCGAACGGGUGAGUAACACGUGAGUAACCUGCCCUUGACUUUGGGGUAACUUCAGGAAACUGGGGGUAAUAGCGGAUAGGAGCUCCUGCUGCAGGGUGGGGGUUGGAAAGUUUCGGCGGUUGGGGAUGGACUCGCGGCUUAUCAGCUUGUUGGUGGGGUAGUGGGUUACCAAGGCUUUGACGGGUAGCCGGCCUGAGAGGGUGACCGGCCCCAUUGGGCCUGAAAUAAGGCCCAGACUCCUACGGGAGGCAGCAGUGGGGAAUAUUGCACAAUGGGCGGAAGCCUGAUGCAGCAACGCCGCGUGCGGGAUGACGGCCUUCGGGUUGUAUUCCGAUUUCGCCUGUGACGAAGCGUGAGUGACGGUAAUGGGUAAAGAAGCACCGGCUAACUACGUG
This 468-nucleotide ribosomal RNA is filed under the name uncultured bacterium. RNAcentral's name for it is "partial 16S ribosomal RNA". It matches the Rfam family "Bacterial small subunit ribosomal RNA", at positions 28 to 507 of the family's 1533-position model. The record is from RNAcentral.